RNAcentral lists this long non-coding RNA (719 nucleotides) under Homo sapiens (human). RNAcentral's name for it is "partial Linc-pint". Lineage: Eukaryota; Metazoa; Chordata; Mammalia; Primates; Hominidae. The record is from RNAcentral.
CUACUGAACUGUCACGGCAGACCUCUCUGUAUCUAUAUUUAGAGCUGUAUGUCCAUAUAUUUGCCUGAAUGUGUGAGUUCUUGGAAGUAUGGAUUCAUUGCCAGGAGCUGGUGAUUUCCUAAGCAGAGGUCGCUAACUACAAGAAAUGUUACACUCGGACAAGUCCUGCGCUUGGGGAUCCUCUGUACGCCCGUUCACUGGUGCAGGUCUUCUGAACAAAUGCCUCCUGAGGAUUUCUGUGCCUGGAAAAUAUCUGUUAACAGACUGCUUUUACACCUACAUGUUGCCAUGCCUUAAAAUUGCUGAUGAUUAAAAUAGAACAUCCUGAGUUACAGAAAUUCAGCCCUAGUGUAUCCUGGCCUAAAAAUACAGAACAAUCAAGUUGAUUGUUGGAAAUGAGAGGCUAGGCAGGGUUGGAAACAUGCUAAUGUUUACUGAGUGAAAUCUUUCCUUCUCAGUAGAGUUGCCCUUGCAGCUGAAAGUCACUGAAAGACUCAACAAAAUAAGCAGAUCCCACUUGUCUCACUCUGUUCUCCUAUGCAUGCCCUGGAAAGAGAAUGAAUGAGCCCUUUUUAAUUUAUCAACUGGUUUUCUUCCAUCUCUUUACUAGUGAGCCAUGGGGGUUUUUUGCCGUUAACUGGGUAGCCAGUCUCUUCAUGGAGACUUAUUUUCAGGAAACUAGCCUCUUGCUUUAUGUGAAAACAAGGACCCAACUCAAA